This 561-nucleotide ribosomal RNA is filed under the name Patelloida signata. Its description in RNAcentral is "partial 16S ribosomal RNA". It matches the Rfam family "Bacterial large subunit ribosomal RNA", at positions 1817 to 2601 of the family's 2925-position model. The record is from RNAcentral. Lineage: Eukaryota; Metazoa; Mollusca; Gastropoda; Lottiidae.
CGCCUCCUGCCCUAUUUAUAGGAGGUCAUGCCUGCACAAUGACCCAAGGGUUAAAUUGCCGCGGUACCCUGACCGUGCUAAGGUAGCGUAAUCACUAGCCUGUUAAUUGCUGGCCCGUAUGAAUGGCUCGACGCUGGUGGCGCUGUCUCUGCUGUGCUCUAUUGAACUUAACUUCUUGGUGAAAAGGCCAAGAUAAAACUAAAAGACGACAAGACCCUGUCGAACUUCAGGCUAACCUAUUAAGGCUUUGCCCCAAAUUAUAGGAGAACCUUUGGUUGGGAGAACCGGGGACCAAAAAAAACGUCCACCCCCACAACAGACUAAGCUUAAGGGAAAGUAAAAUUGCCCCACACCAAAAAAGCCUGACAAGGCCCAAGUAACUAUGUAUGAUCCAAGGAGCCAAGCCUUGAUCAUGGGAAAAGUUACCGCAGGGAUAACAGCGUAAUCCCCCCGGCGAGACCACAUUAAGGGGGGGGUUUGCGACCUCGAUGUUGGCUUGGGGCAUCCCAGAGGUGCAGGAGCUUCUAACGGUUGGUCUGUUCGACCACUAACGCCCCACAU